Molecule: long non-coding RNA, 1057 nt
Organism: Cyprinus carpio (common carp)
Lineage: Eukaryota; Metazoa; Chordata; Actinopteri; Cypriniformes; Cyprinidae
Source: Ensembl
GCUGAGCACCAUUAAGAAAUUUCCACAAGAUAAGAUGGAUUCCCUGAGGAAAGUUAUAAUACAGGACCCAUAUUACUUCCUACUGCUUCCCAGCACUAAACAAGCUGUCCUGGUGGACAAGAUGGUUCAAAGACUGGUAAAGAAUAUAAUUUUACUGUCUACAGGUCAUGCACAUAUUUUCGGUGUGGAUCUUUCCAGUUACUGAUUUUGACAGGGUUAACAAACCCUGAUUCUAUGUCCAUUUUCUAAAAACCUUUUAAAAGGACUUUAAUUUCAAAGUCUCCAACCCUUAUAUCUUUGAUUUACUCAUCAGAAUAUGCACACUGGCCUGUACACUGAAGAGGAGUUUCGUUCACUAGGUGUCAUGGCUACAUUUGUGACAGAUAAAAUGUUUCAGAAAUUGGAUAGGAGCUUUUUUGUUGAUGGUCUGGAGUUCCUACAAAGAUUCUGCUACAAUGCCAGUAAACGGGACCUGGUGGCAGACAUGCUACAAGAACAGGGGACAUUUGGCCCUGUAAAAAACUGGACUUCAGAGACACUGAACCAAGUGGACCGCUUCUUGUUUUUUCUCCCGAAGGACACUAUUCAGCUCAUCCCCUUAGUGAGUGACCAGAAAUUUCUUUGUGUCAUCUGAACUCACGCCUGUGUUUUGACCUGUCUGCGUGUGUGCAUGUGUCUUCAGGGUUUGAUGAGCUUAGAGCGCAUUGAGAGGCUGUUCCUGAGUCAGCAGAAGUGGGAGAGGGAAGAGUUUGGCUCUCUGUGUCAGAAACCCUCAGAGCUGUUUGAGAAGAAACAGUUUGUGCUUCAGUUCUUCCUCGGCUUCCUCAGAAUAGGACGUGCCCCUUACACUGGACUGAUCCCCUCUUGUGAGAGCCUGCAUGUGACACAGCCUGCUGCCUGGACUAUUGACAGCCUUAGAAACAUGCCACAAGCUGCAUUUCGGAGGUGCUUGGAGCUCAUUGGCCAGGAUCCAUUUUUCAGUUCAUCUGAGCUGUUAAUGCUUCUUACAAAGACCAAAGAGGUGCCUGAAUUUGUCCAUCAGCUCAUAUGCUCCUAA